RNAcentral lists this ribosomal RNA (434 nucleotides) under uncultured bacterium. RNAcentral's name for it is "bacterial SSU rRNA". It matches the Rfam family "Bacterial small subunit ribosomal RNA", at positions 105 to 520 of the family's 1533-position model. The record is from RNAcentral.
GGUGCGUAACACUGCAUGCAACCUACCCUUUACAGGCAGGAUAGCUCGGGGAACACUCGAAUUAAGCCCGCCAGUAACUAUACAUUGCACAUGGGCGAGUCAUUCUGAUUAUUAAAUCUUUGGAGGUGGAGGAUGGGCUAUGCGUCUUGAUUAGUUAGUUGGUAGUGUAACGUGACUACCAAGACGAGUGAUCAGUAGGGGAACUGUGAGGUUGAUCCCCCACACUGGCUAGUGAGAAUACGGGCCAAACUCAUACAGGAGGCAGCAGUAGGAAUAUUGGUCAAUGGGUGAGAGCCUGAACCAGCCAUGCCGCGUACAGGAGAAGGCCUUCUGGGUUGUAAACUGCUUUUGCCAGGGGAUACAAAGUUCCAUGCGUGGAAAAUUUGAAGGUACCUGGUGAAUAAGCCACGGUAACUACGUGCCAGCAGCCGCGG